RNAcentral lists this ribosomal RNA (253 nucleotides) under uncultured bacterium. Its description in RNAcentral is "partial 16S ribosomal RNA". It matches the Rfam family "Bacterial small subunit ribosomal RNA", at positions 524 to 776 of the family's 1533-position model. The record is from RNAcentral.
UACGUAGGGUGCAAGCGUUAUCCGGAAUUAUUGGGCGUAAAGAGCUCGUAGGCGGUCUGUCGCGUCUGCUGUGAAAACUCGGGGCUUAACCCCGGGCCUGCAGUGGGUACGGGCAGACUAGAGUGCGGUAGGGGAGACUGGAAUUCCUGGUGUAGCGGUGAAAUGCGCAGAUAUCAGGAGGAACACCAAUGGCGAAGGCAGCUCGCUGGGACGGUACUGACGCUGAGACGCGAAAGCGUGGGGAGCAAACAGG